AAUGGGUGUCAGUGGGUGUCAGUGGGGUCAAUGGGUGUCAAUGGGGUCAAUGGGCGUCAAUGGGGUCAAUGGGUGUCCAUAGGUGUCAAUGGGUGUCAAU
Molecule: long non-coding RNA, 100 nt
Organism: Tympanuchus pallidicinctus (lesser prairie-chicken)
Lineage: Eukaryota; Metazoa; Chordata; Aves; Galliformes; Phasianidae
Exons: 3
Source: RefSeq, a predicted model, not a curated record